CAGAAUGAUAUCUGUCUUAAGGUUUGCCUGCUUUGUGAUCUGUGUGGUAUGUGGUACUGUAUUUUCUUUACCAUGUCUAACAGUCAAAUCAAAGCAAGAUUUCAACAAAGCCAGAGAUGCAUUAAAGAGCCUUGAAAAUUUCAUGAAAAGUCAAGCAACUUCUAUAAACCCCAAAAUAGAGGAUUUAGACAAGGAUAUGACAUCGAUGGAAGAGGAUUUCAAACGGAGACAAUGGAUCAAGUACAACAAUCACUGUUAUUAUUUUGGAGCUGAUGCUGUUAUAUGGACUGCAGCAGAG
This is a long non-coding RNA of Mytilus trossulus (common blue mussel), 298 nucleotides long. RefSeq lists it as uncharacterized. The transcript has 2 exons. The record is from RefSeq and is a predicted model, not a curated record. Lineage: Eukaryota; Metazoa; Mollusca; Bivalvia; Mytilida; Mytilidae.